GCAGAUGGUCCAUUCAGUUUCCUAAUCUGAAUCAUGCAUCUGGUUACGAUUCUUAAUAUUUUAUAAAAAGAAGUGUUUACUCCAGGAUCUCCUCAGCAGUGCCAGAAAGAUUGUUCACAGUCUAAUCAAGCAGAAUGUAGUUUUCCCAGUUAGCACUUCUCUCAUGCUUGCUUCCUCUCCUUCAGAGUAAUGGAGAAGGAGCACUUGUACUGCCUCAGUAGUGACAAGACUUUGAUAAUUUCUGCAGAAUCAUGAAGUUCUUUUUACAAAUAAGUAUUUUGGUAUUUUCCUUUUUAAAAACAAAUUAUUUGGAUUAUACAAACAUGUAUAGUAUAACUGUGAAAAAUAACUGUUUUUGAGAUUGAACAUAAUACCCCUUGGGCCAUAGACUAAAGAAAAGCUUUACAAACUGAAUAUCAUAACCCCAAAAAUAAAGACCCCUCCAGAUCCUUUUUGCCUUAUAAAUACUUCCUCAGGAGAACUCCAUGGAUUUACCCAGUUUGUUUUUUAACAGACAGUUGUUUUCAAAGUUAAAAAUUUGAAGCCUUAAUGUUUACCUUCUGUUUAUGGGUAACAAGAAUUUUAAAAAUACAAAAAUGAGGAACUCCGGCAUCUUAGCUAUAAUAAAUUAUGCUCUAAAAUGAAGAGCUCUUUGUUGAAUUACAUUGCAAACCCUACAAUUUAACCAGUCACCUACCCUGUACUUUAGGCUAAGGUAGUUAUCCAGGCAAGGAAAAGUGCUUGUUUAAACAUACAAGCUCGUCACUACAAGAGUUGUGAGAUCUACAAUAAUCGAAAAGUAAGACUGAAGGCUUCUCCCCUUUGGCUUCUGUCCAAGAUCUUUGCUCUUUACUAUUAAUGACUGUUUAUGUUAAACAGAAUGAACUGGAUGUCCAAUUGUGAGCUAUAAACAGAAUGUCUUAAUCGGUUAUUAAAUAACACACAGUGUUUAAUGUAUAUUGUAUGUUACCAAAUUGCUAUAAACUGGUGUUGAAAGUCUAUUUGGUCAAUGGAUAUUUAGCUCACCCAGCCUUUGCUUUACCAUGAAAGUUAGAAUGAAUAGUGCGCCAGACAGUAACUUGCCGUUGUUGCUGUCCAAGUCCUGCUAAUUGGUACUAUGUCAUUACAAAGAAAACAGUGCUGUUGUAGCAUCCCUCAGAAUGUUUUCCCUUCUAAACAUAACAUUGGAUCGAACGAUGGCACAUCUCACAUUGUUGUAGUUGUGUAUCCUGAAGACGACCUUUCUUCCAGGUAAGCUGCACAUUUGUGUUGUUGCUGAGCCCCUCCAAGGUUCCAGAUUAAACCUGUGAAGAUUGGUAUAUUGGU
Molecule: long non-coding RNA, 1326 nt
Filed under: Rattus norvegicus (Norway rat)
Lineage: Eukaryota; Metazoa; Chordata; Mammalia; Rodentia; Muridae
Description: long non-coding RNA NONRATT003620
Source: RNAcentral